Molecule: ribosomal RNA, 254 nt
Filed under: uncultured bacterium
Lineage: Bacteria
Description: partial 16S ribosomal RNA
Rfam family: Bacterial small subunit ribosomal RNA
Source: RNAcentral
UACGGGGGGUGCGAGCGUUGUCCGGAAUCACUGGGCGUAAAGGGCGCGUAGGUGGCCUGAUAAGGGUGUGGUGAAAGUCCGGGGCUCAACCCCGGAUCUGCCGUGCCGACUGUUAGGCUGGAGUACUGUAGGGGCAGGCGGAAUUCCGGGUGUAGCGGUGGAAUGCGUAGAGAUCCGGAGGAAGACCGGUGGCGAAGGCGGCCUGCUGGGCAGUUACUGACACUGAGGCGCGACGAGCGUGGGGAGCAAACAGG